This is an RNA transcript of Neofelis nebulosa (Clouded leopard), 3953 nucleotides long. It is a transcript of the gene named signal-regulatory protein gamma-like, with no coding region annotated. The transcript is spliced from 4 exons. Lineage: Eukaryota; Metazoa; Chordata; Mammalia; Carnivora; Felidae. The record is from RefSeq and is a predicted model, not a curated record.
GACAACACUCAGACAGAGAAGGCUCCAAGGUCCACCAUGAUGUCUGUCCCUUCUUCCCUAUGCUGCCCUUCUCUGCCAUCCCUGCUGCUGACUCUGCUGUGGGAUUCACAGAGCUUGACAGCUCGUUUCUUCUAGCACUGGAUAAGAUCCCACUGUCUGAAUGUACCACAAUUUCCUUAUCCAUCCAACUACUGAAGGUCAUCCUGGUUGCUUUCAAGCUUGGCAAUUAUAAAUAAAGUUGCUACAAACUGUAUUAAGGACAGUCUGUUCCAGGCCUCUUUUCUAGCCUCUCAUAGCCUCAGAUGGUCCUCAGACUUGUACAUGCCAUUCUCCCUGUGACUCACAUCAACUUCCCUCUGUGCACGAUAGAGCUGUGUCUGAAAUCCUGGUUCACACGAACUAUGAAAGAGUAUGUGUUUUCUUAGAUCAUUAAGUUUGUGGCCAUUUGUUAUUCGGCAAGUUCCCUUGUUUAUUAUAGUGUCUGCCAUGCUGCAGCCCAUCCCCAUAUUAGGAUGCAGAAGAAAGAUACCCACCCCGUUCUGUACACUGGUCCUCUUCCCCUCAUCUUGUAUGGUAACCCAAUUUGUAAUUGUCAUCCUUCUGUGCCAGUACAUGUCGCUAAAAGAGUAUGUAAUGAGACCCCACCUUGAGCUAGAACCAGUCCCUCAGAACAUCUUGGACCAAGACAAAGAACGUGAGAAAUGCUGCAAAGUUUCUUUCCAGGAAAUUUCAGGUAAAGAGUUCCAGAUGAACCAGGCUGAAGAGUUCAUUGUCAGUCAGAGCUGGAGACAUCGUUACACUGGCCUGCAACGUGUCUGCUCACUCCCCAGCAGGGCCUGUCUUGUGGUCCAGGGAGAACGGGUCUACAGUUUCAAUGGAAGUCACUUCCCCUAGUAAACCAGGUGGAAACACAGAGGUCAACCAAACAGACUAUUCCAUCUGCAUCAGUGAUUGUUGCCCAAGAAUAUGGGCACCUAUUACUGUGUGAAGUUGAUAAGAGGGCAUCCUGAUGUGGGGUAUACGUCUAGUUCAGGCAUCUAUGUGUCUGUGAAUGGUGAGUACAGUCUGACAACCUCUAUCCUUUUGGUUUGUAAAACUAAAUUUUUCAAAAUCUGAAACACGUACCAAAUCAUCAUAACACACUGGAUACUGUGCCCCUUCAUCCACAAACAACCCUGUAGGCUGGGAUUCUAUACAUGGCUCUUCUGUCAGUCUGGGCCCUGUGCCCACUCUUGAAUGAAGCCAUGUGACAGACCAUGCCCUUUAUGAUGACCCAACUACCAACAUGAACACAGGGCCAGAAAAACUCCAAACUCAAAAGAUAUUCAAGUAGGUUAAAUGCAACUACAUGUGUGCACGGAAUGAUCCAAAAAGUUGUUAAACUGAGCCUACAAGUCUAUCUGGCCUUUCUGAGGUUUAGGGACAAACCUGAACUCAAGAAUAUGCAUUGUAUCUAUUUUGGCCCGCUUCCUGACUCCAGACAUAAGCCAUAGACACUCCAUAUAAUCCUCUGGAUUUGGAUGGAAUCUCAACACGGGGAACCUCUCCAAAUCCUAGUUCCUUCCUAUGUAAAAUCUCAGUAUCUUGGAGUCAUAAAGAUGUAGAGUCUGUGAAUCUUAAAAUGUUAGAAUUAUCAAGUCAUGGAGUGAGUCAACUGACUUCUAGGUUCUUAAAUGGCAUUUAAUGUUCAUCUUUGCAUCUUUCAUGGCCAAAGUGGAAAAAAAAGAGAGAGAGAGAGAGAGCAAGUUUUGGAGGCUUUCAUCAAGCCCAUUCAUUCUUUCAUCCAUGCAUUCCUCCAUCCGACCGUGCAUCAAGCAUGCAUUCACUCAAAGCACACUCUCAUUCAGCCAUGCAUUUACCUAUGCAGGAAUCUGUUCACAAGUACCUGGAUCCUCCUCUGGGGCAGACCCUGGGCAGAUGACCCAUCGUCAAGGAAUUCCCAGGCUCCCACAGUGGCCUUCCUAUAGUAAUUGUCUGCUUUCUCUGGGCUGUGUCAGUUCCCCCUACAGUGACAGUGUCCCAGUCUUCACCCUCCUCGGACUUGGUGGUUGUCACCUGCCGCGUGCAGAGAUUCUAUCCACAGAGUGUGCAUCUCACCUGGACGGAGAACUGCCAUACGAUCGAGGGAGCUGAGCAACUCCCAUCCAAGCAGAAUAGCGAUGGGACCUACGCCCUGGAAAGCUUGCGUUUGGUGAACGUGUCAGGGCCGGGGUCCGAGCAGGUGCUCACCUGUAAGGUGCAGCACGAGACCCAACCUCCCAUCCAGGCCAGCCUCAUACUGUCUGCGGAAGCACACGGCACAUACAAGCCCAUCGGAAGCUCAGGUCCCGAGAUGCCUGCCUCAUCUUUGUGGCAUUCCUUCUGGGCUUCAAGGUGCUGCUGGCGAUGAGUUUCAUAGUCACCUACAUCUGCACGUGGCGGAGCCGGUAACAGCUCCUGCAUGAACUGCAAUACAUUGCCUCCCAUCCUGUGCAAGAGGCUCACAUAGGGGAGAACCUGCCCCCCACCCCCCGCCUUCCAUCCUGGACAUGCCCCCUUCCCCACACCCUCCUGAUGUUCCUUCUCUCGGAGCAGAGUCCUGAUGUUCCGCUCUCUUCAGAGCAGAGUCAAGGAUGGACCCUGGUCUCAGGGACCCAGAGACCCUGAUGGACUGAGCUUCACACUGGCCCUGCCUCUGCCCCAAAGACAAUCAAGAGGGUCAAGAAAAGAAGGUUCCCAUUCUCUCUGUGAUCAGGAACAGCCCUUCAAUUUCAGAGCACAUUUUACUUUUCUUUUUUAAAUGUUAAUUCCAGUAUAGUUAACAUGCAGUGUUAUUAUAGUUUCAGGUAUACAAAAAUAGUAUUCAGCAAUUCUAUACAUUACUCAGUGUUCAAAAUGUAAGUGUACUCCUAAUCCCCUUGGUCUGCUUAACCCAUCCCCCCACUUCCCCACUUACCUCCCCUCUGGUAACUAUCAGUUUGUUCUCUAUAGCUACGAGCCUGUUUUUUGGUUUGACUCUUUUUUUUUUUUUUUUUACCUUUUUUUGGUCUAUGCUUCUUUGAUUCCACAUAUGACUGAAAGAAAGCAUGUGAUGUUUGUCUUUCUCUGACAUUUCUUUUAGUGAUAGACUCCCUAACUCUAGCCGUGCUGUUGCAUAUGGCAAGAUUUCACUCUUUUUAACGGCUGAAUAAUAUUCCAUUGUAUAUAUUGACCACCUUUUCUUUAUUCGCUCAUCUGUUGAUGGACAUUUGCUCUGCUUCCAAUAAUUUGGACAAGCACAUUUUACUUUUAUGCAGCGCUUUCUGCAAGGAUGAUGUGAUUUUAACACCUAUAUAUUUUGAAAUCACUACAUGGAAUAAGCACAUUUUGGUUCUGAAAUUUAUAAGAAAUAUACAAGAAAUCCUUGGUCCUACUACAUUAUCUUUGCAAAAAUUAACAUUUCGCUGUUAUGGCCUUCUGUUGCUUUUAAAAACACUUACCUGAAUUUGGUGUUUAUCAUUCUCAAAUUUACUUUUAUAAUUUUACAACAUGUUAUAAAUCCUUAAGUGAUAUACAAUGUAACUUUGCAUAUUUAAAAUUCUAUAAAGAUGCUGUUGUACUAUAUACAGCACUCCAGAACUUUUCUUUUUUAUGCUCAACACAGUGUGUGAGGUUUCUUCAAGAAGCUCCAUUUUAGUAAUUUUCCAUGGCUUUAUGGUUACAUAUUACAGUAAUAUGCUACAACUUAUGGAUUCUUCUCAGGAUUGUAUCAAAGCUCUAUCUGCUGUUUGGGUAAUACAGCUUUGCAACAAGGGAUUUUUUUUUUUCCUCUAUUUCCUUGGGCACACAAUGGGAGAGUGCCUCUAGUUCCUCUGUUGUGGUCCACACAGCAGUAGUAUUCUUAUCAUUUGCAAGCUUUAGUAACACGAAAUAAAAUCUUUUAAUUUUUGGUGAAGUUGUGCUCUUUCCAUUUAUACCUUUUAUCCAACUUUACU